UACGAAGGGGGCUAGCGUUGCUCGGAUUGACUGGGCGUAAAGGGCGCGUAGGCGGAUAGUACAGUCAGGCGUGAAAUUCCUGGGCUCAACCUGGGGGCUGCGUUUGAUACGUGUUGUCUGGAGUUCGGAAGAGGGUCGUGGAAUUCCCAGUGUAGAGGUGAAAUUCGUAGAUAUUGGGAAGAACACCGGUGGCGAAGGCGGCUCUCUGGACCGAGACUGACGCUGAGGCGCGAAAGCGUGGGGAGCAAACAGG
Molecule: ribosomal RNA, 253 nt
Filed under: uncultured bacterium
Lineage: Bacteria
Description: partial 16S ribosomal RNA
Rfam family: Bacterial small subunit ribosomal RNA
Source: RNAcentral